Molecule: ribosomal RNA, 448 nt
Filed under: Trichodectes pinguis
Lineage: Eukaryota; Metazoa; Arthropoda; Insecta; Psocodea; Trichodectidae
Description: partial 16S ribosomal RNA
Rfam family: Bacterial large subunit ribosomal RNA
Source: RNAcentral
GGUAAUGGUAAAUGGCUGCAGAAUUUUUACUGUACGAAGGUAGCGUAAUCAUUAGUCUUUUGAUUGGAGAAUUGUAUGAAUGGUGGAACCAAAUUGGAACUGUCUCUAGUAAAAUCAAAGAAUUUGGGUGUUGGGUUCAAAUCCCCAAAUACUCCGGUGGGACGAGAAGACCCUGUAGAUUUUCAUUAUCUUCAGAAUUAUAAACAUAUUUGAUGAUAAUUUACCUGGGAAGGGGUAAUGAAAACAGUUUUUAACAUAAAAGACUUACAAGUCAAUACUUUAAGAUCCCUGAAUCUAGGAAAAUAGGAAUAAAUACCUCAGGGCUAACAGCACAAUUCAAGUUCUUUGAUCUCAAGGGAUACUUUGAGUUUGUGACCUCGAUGUUGAAUUGAGAUUCGGUUUAGGGAGAAGAAAAUCUAAAUCUCAGUCUGUUCGACUGUUAAAAUCU